RNAcentral lists this unclassified non-coding RNA (218 nucleotides) under plant metagenome. RNAcentral's name for it is "partial contains small subunit ribosomal RNA, internal transcribed spacer 1, and 5.8S ribosomal RNA". The record is from RNAcentral.
UCUCCGUUGGUGAACCAGCGGAGGGAUCAUUACCGAAGUUACCCUUCAAAACCCAUUGUGAACCAUACCUCUUGCCGCGUUGUCUCGGCGGGAGGCGCUGGGGCCUCGGCUCCGCGUCCCCGCCGGCAGCGCCAAACUCUAAACUGCAAAGCGUACUGCAUGUUCUAAUUUACAAAAAAAACAAGUUAAAACUUUCAACAACGGAUCUCUUGGUUCUG